Molecule: long non-coding RNA, 955 nt
Organism: Aquila chrysaetos chrysaetos
Lineage: Eukaryota; Metazoa; Chordata; Aves; Accipitriformes; Accipitridae
Exons: 2
Source: RefSeq, a predicted model, not a curated record
GGAAUUACUUGGAUUGUAGAAGCAAUGUUCCCCCAAGAGUCCGUCUGUCCUGGGCAUGUUUGAUGCCCCAGGCUAUGCAGAAUUUGCUGUACAAGGGCUGUAACCACAUGGAACCAGCUUUCAGCAGCUGCUGGGGGAGCAGAUUUGCACAGGAGCCUGGUGAGGGUUGGAGCUUCACCUGGGAGCUGACCUCUCUGAAUCACACAGCGCAGAAGUCUGGGUUCAUCUGGUGAUUUGAGAACUAGCUGCCCCAAUACGAAGCAAGGCUGGCCAGAAAUAGAGAUAAGAGACUGUCAAUAUCUGCUCUUCCCUUCAUGCACACAGGAAGCUUGUAAUGAAAGCUUUAUAUUCAUAUAACUAUUGCCCAGGGGCCACCAUUUUAAUGGAAGUGCCAAGGCUAGGGCUUAACCCCCAGUACAGCUUUUGCUGGAAAUAAGCCUGCCCCCAAAAUACAACAGACCAAUAAAAAUAUUGCACAGCAAUUCAUUAAAAAAAAUCCCAUGAAAGAGACAUUCUUAAAAACAAGGAAAAAUCCCCUUUGGGGGCUUGCAACACAAAUGUUACUCUGUUACUGCACAAAAUUCAGAGUAAACCUGACUAGAAACUGAAGUGAAAGCCAGGCGUCUGUUUUCAUUGUCCAUCAGAAAGAAAUGCCAAGGAACAAGCAAACAGCAGAAAGUGAAAGGCAAAUUGGAUUCUGAAAAGCCUUGGAAGAAUAAGCAUUUGAGGUAACCUCUAUAAAUCAGAGUAUGCAAUGUUUAGCACGCCAGCAUACAUUCAGGUUAAUCAGACUAAAGUCCUGUGCCAUCAGCUGUAUGAAUAACUGAAAAUCGCAACAGACGAGCGAGUGGUACCCACCAUGUCACAGGAGAAAAAUACAAAUGCGGAUGCAAUGGGACUGGUAGGAUUUGCACCUUCACAGAUAAUAAAGAUGACACCUGCAUGCACUGGUCAA